AAGAUGCUAGUAAAAUGAACAUAACACUGCUUUGUCAAGGCAGAGUUGCGAGUUAAACUCUCGCGCAUCUUA
This 72-nucleotide transfer RNA is filed under the name Pristolepis rubripinnis. Its description in RNAcentral is "tRNA-Asp". It matches the Rfam family "tRNA". Rfam says of the family: Transfer RNA (tRNA) molecules are approximately 80 nucleotides in length. Their secondary structure includes four short double-helical elements and three loops (D, anti-codon, and T loops). Lineage: Eukaryota; Metazoa; Chordata; Actinopteri; Anabantiformes; Pristolepididae. The record is from RNAcentral.